UGGUAGUAAAAGCAGGUCCUCGGCCAUCUCAGCCUAGGCUGGAGGAGCAGGGUGGAGGCCAGGCUCCUCGGACCCUGCGGGCGCUGGUUGGUCAGCAGGGCUCGUACCCAGCCGAGCUCCCUGGGGAGUUGGCCUGCUCUCCGACCUCUCCUGAGUGGCCAGGAUCUAGAUCUGCUGAAAGAUGUAAUUUGAUAGGGGAGUAGGGGCUCCAUGUUGGCUUUUGUUUCCAGCAGCUACUUCUGGAGGGCCCCGCAUCUCAAAGGUCUCAGAUGCCUCUGCUCCCAUAUUCGCCUCCGUUCCUGCAUUCAGUGACUCGGCUUUGCUGGGACCAUGGGAUACCCUGGACCUGGAGGAUGCCAGGUGAUUCUGCAGCCCACUGAUGGUUGAGAACUGCUGUUGUAAAUAAGAAUGAGAUUGCCAAGAUCUGGAGUGUGAGUUACUCUAGAAGCAUCUUACAGAAAAGCCUGGGGGUGGGUAGGUUGCUUCUAGCAGGCCUUUUGGAUUGUACCUGAUGACUUAGAACAGUGGUUCUUAACGUGGGGUCCCAGGACCAGGAACUUGACCAUAACCUGGAAACCUGUUGGAAGAGCCACUUCCCAGGCUCAGUCAAACCAACUGAAGCAGAGACUUGGGGGGUGGUGCCCAGCGGUCUGCAGUUUGACCAGCCCGCAGGUGAUUCUACUGCAAACACAGGUUCGAGAACUGCUGGUUUAGGGCCCAUCGAUGACACCUGCAGCCAACUCUGCACCUCAGGGCAGGGGGUGGGGUGGGCGGAGCGGGGACAGGUCUGCUCCCCUCCACCUGUACCGUAUUUUGACUGGGUUCAUUAUCAGAUGCAAAUCCAUUCAUGCAGCCAAUAUUAAUCAAACCUCUACUAUAGCUGGAGAUGCCACGGUGGGCAGAUUAGACAAGGAUCGUGUCCUCCUGGGACGGACAGUCCAUUGGGGAGGACAGAUAUUAUUUCAAAACAAUAGCCUGGAAAUAAGAAACGGGAAACUGCUGUGCAGGAAAAAUAGCCUAUUCUGGGGGAUUGGACCUCCUUUAAGGGGACAGCCUUCCCCAAGGAAGUGACUUUUGAGCUGGGACCUCAAGAUGAGUAGGAGUUAGUGGGUUAGGGGUGUUUGUGAGAGAAAAGAGUGUCAGAUACGGGAAGGGCAGGUGUAGAGGCUGUGCAGGGGGUGACAGAGGCCAGUGUGGUGGGAGUAGGGGGGCGGUGGACCCUGCACAGGCCUCAGCAGAGCAGGGAGCAGCUGUAGUGGCCAUGGUGUGUGUGUGCGCAUGCGUGUGCACACACACCCUAUUGAUAGUAGGUAUAUGUAGUGGUGUGUACGGGGCUGUAGUGCGCAUAUAUAUGUAUAAAUGUGUGUGCAUGUAGUGUAUAUGUCAGAUGUGUAUUACAUAAUGCAUAGAGCAGUAUAUGUAUAUAUGGUGGCUACAGUAGUGUGGCCCCUGGGGCUCACUGGUUAGCUUCUAGUCUGAUCACAACCCCCCAUUAUGCCCUAGACAUGAUCUGGCCUCACUGCCAACUCCACUACCUUGCUGCUUUUCUCCCACCAAGUUCACCUCAUUGUGUAAUAAAGACAGCCCCCAGGAAAAGCCCAGAUCGGAUUAGCACAGGGGGGACUGUUAUUUCUUCUCCCUGGGGAUCCACAGCUUCAAAAAGAUGCUGCUGCCCCAGGCCCUCUCUUUAAAUCAGCAACAACCUAGGCAGACCAACCCCACUGCUCAGGAAACGGGGCUGGAGUCAGUGCUCUGAAAAUGCAGAGGUACUGGGUAAGAAAGAAAAGUUGAUGAGUCUCAAAAGCUCCAACAGAAAACUAGAAUUUAUUGAUUUUUUUUUUCCCACCUAGCCCUCUAGAACUCAGAUUUCUCAAAUUGCUAUUAAAAACUGCUCAAAUGCAAAUACUGUAGUAUUUCAUCUUCCUGGAGUAUUUUACUUUGUCAGGAGAUGAAGUGGGUGGAUCUUUUCCUCCUCUAAAAGUCUUUGAAUCAAACUUUAAGGCUCUGAAUUUUGAGCUCCUAAGAGUUAGGUGCAAUGCCAAGUUCUAAGGAAUCCCUCAGGGAAGUCGCAGAGAGGCAAAAGAGUGGUCAGAAAUUCCCAGGAGCCCACAGAAAGCACUCACAGACACGCCUGAAUGAAAUAUGUGAGGAGGACCUCCUGCUGUGGUGCAACGGGAUGGACGACAGCCAAUUGGGAGACCCUGGGACACAGGUUCGAUGCCCGGCACAGUGGGUUAGGUUGCAACUGUGACUCCAAUCCCUGGCCCAGGAGCUCCAUAUGCUGAAGGCCAAAAAUCACCCCCCCCCAAAAAAAGAAAUAUGUGAGUAUUUGGGAAGGAGGAUAAUAACUCUGAUGUGUGUGUGUGUCGGUAAUAAAGGAAGCAUCUUUCCUUCUGGAGAGAAUAGGGAACUGGAUCUUGGCAAGCUCGAUUUCCUCCAUUGUUUUGAGUUGCCCUUUGAACCCACAGGAUGUGGAGGGGAGGGGGGGAGAGCCUGCCGAAGGAAAUUUCUGUGGCUUCUGUGCUUGAAAGGGUGAUACAAGCAAGGAGAACAAAGAGUGAGGCAAAGCUGCCGAAAGAUGCUAAAACAAAAAGUACUGGAGACGCGAUAAGGCAGGAAUCACCUGUUACUUCUUAGGUUUGAGAGGGCUUUUCUGUAGGGAAUCACGUGGUAAAAGACAAAUGGGUGGAAACUCAUCAUUGAAAAUAAUCCAUUGAUGGAGUUCACCUCGUGGCUCAGCAGAAACAAAUCUGACCAGCAUCCAUGAAGACAGGUGUUCAAUCCCUGGCCUUGCUC
Molecule: non-coding RNA, 2796 nt
Organism: Sus scrofa (pig)
Lineage: Eukaryota; Metazoa; Chordata; Mammalia; Artiodactyla; Suidae
Source: RefSeq, a predicted model, not a curated record